RNAcentral lists this RNase P RNA (478 nucleotides) under Planctomycetota bacterium. Its description in RNAcentral is "Planctomycetes bacterium (anaerobic digester metagenome) partial RNase P RNA component class A". The stretch from base 99 to 456 matches the Rfam family "Bacterial RNase P class A", at positions 20 to 304 of the family's 367-position model. From Rfam's summary of the family: Ribonuclease P (RNase P) is a ubiquitous endoribonuclease, found in archaea, bacteria and eukarya as well as chloroplasts and mitochondria. Lineage: Bacteria; Pseudomonadati; Planctomycetota. The record is from RNAcentral.
AGAGUGGGUCGGGCGGUCGCCCCGCGCCUAAAAAAAUAGGAAUGCCUUUCCGGAAUUGUCGUGCCGGAGGCGGCAGACCCCGCUAAAUAGCGGGGUAUCCGUAUUCUUUUAGGUGUGGGGAGGAAAGUCCGAGCAGGAUAGGGCACGGUGGCGGCUAACAGCCGCCCGGGGUGACCCGCGGGAAAGUGCCACAGAAAAUAUACCGCCCCGCACUAUAAAAACAGUAACGGUUCGGCCGCGUUGUUGUCCUCUGUUCCUUCAGGAAUAGGACAAUCAAGGGCUUGCGUCACUGUUUAGUGCGGGGUAAGGGUGAAAAGGUGCGGUAAGAGCGCACCGCGUCGCUGGUAACAGCGGCGGCACGGCAAACCCCACCGCCUGCAAGACCAAGUAUGCUGUGUGCUCGGCCCGGGCGUUUCACAGCGGGUAGGUCGCGUGCCGAGGGGGCAACCUAUCGGCAGAGCCGGUCGGCAACGGCCGG